This 449-nucleotide ribosomal RNA is filed under the name uncultured Bifidobacterium sp. RNAcentral describes it as "bacterial SSU rRNA". It matches the Rfam family "Bacterial small subunit ribosomal RNA", at positions 173 to 640 of the family's 1533-position model. Lineage: Bacteria; Bacillati; Actinomycetota; Actinomycetes; Bifidobacteriales; Bifidobacteriaceae. The record is from RNAcentral.
CUCCAGUUGAUCGCAUGGUCUUCUGGGGAAGCUUUCGCGGUAUGGGAUGGGGUCGCGUCCUAUCAGCUUGACGGCGGGGUAACGGCCCACCGUGGCUUCGACGGGUAGCCGGCCUGAGAGGGCGACCGGCCACAUUGGGACUGAGAUACGGCCCAGACUCCUACGGGAGGCAGCAGUGGGGAAUAUUGCACAAUGGGCGCAAGCCUGAUGCAGCGACGCCGCGUGAGGGAUGGAGGCCUUCGGGUUGUAAACCUCUUUUAUCGGGGAGCAAGCGAGAGUGAGUUUACCCGUUGAAUAAGCACCGGCUAACUACGUGCCAGCAGCCGCGGUAAUACGUAGGGUGCAAGCGUUAUCCGGAAUUAUUGGGCGUAAAGGGCUCGUAGGCGGUUCGUCGCGUCCGGUGUGAAAGUCCAUCGCUUAACGGUGGAUCCGCGCCGGGUACGGGCGGG